Long non-coding RNA from Quercus robur (English oak), 183 nucleotides. RefSeq lists it as uncharacterized. The record is from RefSeq and is a predicted model, not a curated record. NCBI's taxonomy places the organism in Eukaryota, Viridiplantae, Streptophyta, Magnoliopsida, Fagales, Fagaceae. The transcript has 3 exons.
UCUCUCUUUCUCCUCCCACAUACAGACCCAUGCCUCUCAGCCUCCCAAAAAGACCGGAUUAGCAAGAUAUUGAUUUCCGGAUUAGAGAGGGUGUUGGUUUUAGGACAUAAAUUUUGGGUUUGGAGAAGCUUCUAAGUGGGUCAAGGGGAAGCAAUUGGAAGAAGUUGUGGCCAUUAAAAACAC